This 8649-nucleotide unclassified non-coding RNA is filed under the name Homalodisca vitripennis (glassy-winged sharpshooter). RNAcentral describes it as "tLC domain-containing protein 2-like, transcript variant X1". The record is from RNAcentral. Lineage: Eukaryota; Metazoa; Arthropoda; Insecta; Hemiptera; Cicadellidae.
UGUAUCUAGUGUUGUGAUUUGUGGAUUGUGGAAGGGAAGGGCUGUGGCUGCUGGUUGGGUGUUUACUUGUAAUUCAGCGUCUGAAUUCAUAUCGAAAUAAUAAUAUUUUUAUGUAUCGUAGUGUUUUAGUAUUUCACUUUUAAGUAUAACUGAAAAUUUUUACUUAAUUUCUUUGUGUUUCCAUUAUAAGAGCUGUGAUAAUGUCAGUAAUUGAAAUGAGCAACAUUUUGCCUGGUGUUAAUGAUGCUUACAUAGUUGUAAUUUUAAGUAUGAUUCUAUUUUUCUGUAAUAACAUUUGGAUUUUAAAACUUAUAGUUCCUACUAGUGCAAGGACUUCACAGCGUCAAGAAUGGAAGUGGAGGAAUAUUGCAAAUUCAUUGAUCCAUUCAAUGAUUACGGGUUGUGGAGCUUGUGUUUGCUUUUAUCAGAGUCCAGAGAUUCGGAAAGACUUGAUUUCGAAAUGGACUAUUUCAAGUCAUUGUUUACUCGCAAUAUCUACAGGUUACUUUAUAUAUGACAUGUUUGACAUGCUUCUCAACGACCCUAAGUCAAAAACCUUUGAACUUCUAGUACAUCAUAUGCUGGUUAUAAGCUGCUUCACCACUGCCAUUACUACGUACAACUAUGAAGGCUACGCUAUAAUGGCCUUGUUAGUGGAAGUUAACAGCGUGUUCCUUCACAUCCGACAGUUGAUGAUCAUUCAGAACUGGAAUCGUAAGACCCUUUCCUACCGCCUCAACAGCUCUCUAAAUCUUGGUACUUUUGUUGUAUUCCGUAUCCUCACCAUGGGAUGGAUGACUCGUUGGUUGAUCCAGCAUCGUUACGAUCUGACUCCAUUUGCAUUCAACCUCGCAGGCAUAUCUCUGGCCGUGAUAAUGGUGAUGAAUAUUGUUUUGCUGCUGAGGGUGCUGAAGUCUGACUACCAACAGCGGCCGACCCAGCACAACCCAGACCUCCAGGUGCUGCACACCAAGGCUAGUUAAGCCCCACCACUCUCGCCGUGAUCUCGCAGAGUUCCGAGUACGGGUUCAGCAAGUGAAUCUCGUUUCGGAAACUCUCUAAAACACUGUAGUCCUAGUGAUUUAGAAAAAAGGCGUUGCACAAUAUUGGCCUUCCUUGUAAUUUAAUGGUGCAAACUCACUAGUGUUUUAAGCGUUCAAUACCUUAUUGGUAAAUUUGACACUACGAUCAUCUAGAAUAGAUACACAAUCGUAUUUUUGCAUAUUAGAAUAGUGAUCACGGGCGUGAUAGCCUCAGCCACCGAUAGUUUUGUUUCACCCCUAUUGUGUGUCGAGGCCUGAUGAGAUUUGUAGAUAUUUCUAAAAUUAAAUCUCGCAAUAAAGAUUUUUUACAAAAACUGACACAAAAAUGUUAUAGUAUUACUAGACGUCAAGAGCAAAUUUGUAGGAAUAUUUUUUAAGUGAUCCAAUAGAUGAUUGGAUUAGUUUGUAUUCAUUUUAGAGUUGUCCUUAGAACGUUUGCUUGUUUGUUUAUAACAUUAGAGCCGAGUAAAUGUUUUGUUGUUCAUAAAUAAUACAAAGUGAUUGAUGACUAACAACUGUUAUGUGACGAAGUGUUGCUUUCACCACUGUAUAUAGUAUAUAAAGUUGUUGCUUUUUAUGUGAAAUCAGUAAACCAAUAUAGUAUUUAUUUAUUUGCCAAACAGCUUUAAGUUCUCUUUUUGGCUUACUAAAACUAAAUACACAGCUAAUCUAUUAAGUUGGUCUGACAACAACAAUAAACAUCAUAAUUUCAUUUAUUGUUGACUCAUUUAUACAGUUAAUGAUAAAGCAGUGAAGAGUGUGAUGAGAAUUCUGGGUUUCUAAAGUAUUAAUGUGCUUAUGAAUGUAUCCAUGAACCAGUAUUAAUAUUUAAAAUGGAAAAUAUAAUUUAAAGCAUAAGCCCAACUUUGGAUUAUAGUUUAUGUCUUCAAAAUUAAUAAACACACCCUUCUCAUUAAUAGAAUCCUGAAAGAAAACGUAGAACUAACUAAUUGAACCAAACUUUCAAUUAGAGAUAAAUUACUGCCAUAAAUUUACACUCGUUUUCAUAUUUGCCAAUUGUUGAUUUUUCUGCGUUUUUAUCAGUAGAUUUGAGAUUAGAAGUAUAUUAGGAGGUAGGUGUUGGGAUAUUUACUCUAAGAAAAACCAGUGUACACUGCCUCCUAAUUUACCACUUAGUACAAAUAUUUGUUGUGUGCAAUUAAAAAUUGUAAUAAUGCAAUUAUCAAUACUGAGGAAUUAGGAUUCCAAGCUGUCUUUUCAGUUCUUUUUCUUUUUUUUCAAAAGCUGUGAAAGGAACCAUAUAAAAAAGUAAGUAGUAGAAACUGAGUAAGCUAUUUUUUAUUUUAUUUGCAUUAUAAAUUAAAACGGGUGCAUUUGCCUGUUGACUCUGUCAGAACGGUUGAGUUCCCUUUACAUAAUUAAUAAUUGUCCUCAUACAUUUUUGCACUAUCAGUGACAUUUACAUUCUAAGUAUUUUUAAGGUAGGUUAAUUAAUUUGCAAGUGUCUAAACAAAUGUGAAAUCUAAAAGUGUCUCUUACCAAGUGUUAAGACAAUUGGCCUUCUAGAUUUUAGAAGAGACCUCCCUCGAGAUUUAUUAUGUUUUGCUCUCUUGCAACAUGUUUUGUUCAAUCAUAGUUAGUUCAUGAUUCUCAUUAUCAUCAUAUAUAUUACCUGCAGGUGAAAAUGCUCAUUUCUUGUUUGCUGUAGGAAAUGAAGACAGAUGUGUGAUACUACACAAACAAAAUUAUUGCUAGUUACAUUAUUUGAUAAACACGUCCCACCUAUUUAUAGAGGCUAAGUGAAACUGAUAAUUUCACAAGUUGAUUAUGUUUUCGAUCUUUAAUGAAAUAACAUUGAUUUGUGUUUAACUUUUUAUUUUCUAUCCAUAUUUACCCUUGUCAACCAAGGAAAAAGGUGUUUUCUUGUGUAUGCACUGUGGCAAAUCAAAAAUCAAUAUGGGAUGUCAUUAUUCCUAGGUGAAGAUUGGAUGGACAGAAUGAACAGAUGCAAUUUUGAUAAUACGCACACUAGGCUGGAAUGAGCAUACGAAAUACACACACUUUCAUAAAGCAGGGACUGUGGGAGCUGAGCUUUGUGGUUAAUCGUGUAUAUUUGCUUUGACCACUUUUUAGAAAAGAUCUUUUGUUGUUAAGAAAUAUUGUAUUUUGAAAACACUAUUUUUAUAUAAGUUCAGCUCCAUUUCAUCUUCCACUAAAUGCAGCAUCUGAAAUAUGACACUGUCACAGACAACAUUUAUGACUCUUCUCCUUUAUCUCUUUGUAAUUUCUGUGUACUUUUUAACUAAAACUAAAGACUGUUGAAAUCUUUGAACAAUAAAAAAUAACAAUAAACAUUAUCGUCCAUAAAUGCUUGAAGUUUAUCAUCUCUGUUAUUGAGACAUAGGUACUACAGUAGGGACCACCAGAAAGUGCAGUUGAGGGAGGAGCCUAUUUGGCACGUGACCUUGGAGUAGCCAACGAGGACUGAACAACGUUGCCAAAUUUGUCCCCUGCUGCACCGUGCCAGGCGGCAGUUGAUGAGUUGUCGCACAAGCCUGUCCAUUCUAUUGGUCACAGCCAAGUGCAUUCUUUCAUGACCCCUACUGUAGUUGUCCAGUGCUGUCCAUCCAGUCCAAGUACAUUAGGUCCUAUUAUAUUAAUUUUUUUAUUGCUAUGACGCCUGCACGCUAGGCCUAAAAGUUCAUCAAUUUAGAAAUAAAAAACCCAGUGAAAAAUUAAAAUCAGCAUAAAUAUGUGUAUUGUAAGUACUAUUGGAUAUGCAAGAGUAUUACAUACUCCUAUCUACAAAUUUGGCAAAUUUCUAAAUUUAUGUGCUGUAAAUAAAUGUUAUUUCUGAUUUAACUACAGUAGUAAAAAUAUUAUAGGUUUUUGAUUUGAUUAACGCAAAUCAUAUACAUCAGAUGAUUUGAUGUGAAUGCAAAAAUAACAAAACACUAGUUUACACAAUCAAAAUUGCAUGCUUUAUGUUUGUUUUUGAUGAGGAUUAGGGUACUAGGAAUAAAUGUUGUGGAAUUAAGCACAAUUAAGCUGAUCAUGCACAAGAGUUCAAAUCAAAUGUAAAUGACAAAUUGUAUAAACUAUAGAGUUACAGAAGCUCCUAUUUAUGAGUUGUAUUUUUUAAUGUAACAAAUUAUUUUUAUUUAGCAGCAAUAUAUUUGUUCAAUACCAAAGAAUUUUUACAUUGAAAAUAACUAGAUAUUUGUAUAUUUUAUAGAAAACUAUUAGUAUUUUAUUUUAUUUGUUAAAUACGAGAUGAGUUUAGAUAUAAAUUUUAUAUGCCUAUUAGAGGUUAAAAUUGUUUGUUGUAAGAGUACAAUUUUAUGCUUAAUUAAAUGCUAUAAAUAUUUCCUUUAAGUGAAAUUAAUUAUUUUUUUGCUUUGCUUUAAAUCCUUUUGUUAUUUAAAUAACAAUCUGCUAUAUUCGGAUUGCAUAAAAGUAGACAUUUCAGGCUAUUCAUCUCACAGGUGUUUGAAAACUGGAAAGAAAUUAUUGUUUGUUCAAUUAACAUAAUACAUUAUCACAAAAUCUGCACAUUUCACUCAAUAGCCUAAAACAAGAGGAUUUUAAUGUCUACUUUUGUGAACUUAUGUACACACUGGUGUAUUAAACUCCAGAACUGCUGAAAUUGAAUAAGAUGUUUCAGAGAUUAUACAAGUUUUUAGAUAAAAAUGUUUUAAGUGUAGUUUAUUGAUAAAGAGAAGCUGUAGUAAGAUUUAAGUAAGUAACAAAAUAUCCAUAGGUGGAACGACCAUGUUGCAUAUUCAUAUUGAUAGACUGGCAAAUUAAAAAAAAACUAUAAAAAUCAGAAAACUAUCAGUGAGACCACUAGAAAAUUGUGUGUACGAAUGUAUAUAUAUAUAUAUAUAUAUAUAUAUAUAUUUUAAGAAGAGGUCUAUCCUCUUUAAGCCUUAUUCUUCUUGUCCUCAUGGGCCAUUGGCCUGUGCAAUCAGGCAGAAUAAGGAGAAGAGUUGAUACAGUAUAAGGUUGAUGGUACUGAUAAAAAGUGCUACAAUAGCAGACAAGAUUUGAACCUGCGCUAUCUCUAAAUCAGAUCCAAAGUCUGACGUCAUAGACCGCUCGGCCAUCGGCACUCCUAAGAUGUAUGAAAAUAAAAUCAGGUCUGUUAUAAAAGCUGGUAAAUCCUUUGGACAUUUUGUAUUGUUAAACACAUACAACGUUUUGAGAUCUUCAAUCUGAUCUUUUACUCAUGUAACAAACCUGACAUUUAAAUUACGAACUAGGUUUAAGUGAACACAUUAUAUGAGGAUGAGUCUUAUUUAAGCAGACUUUAAAAUUUACUUUCCUUAGUGGAGUGUCAAGGUCAAUGUGCUAGAAGUUUGGAGAAAGCCUGCAAGAGGUUACAUUCUUUGUUUUGCAUAAUUUUAUAAAGUAUUUAACUAACAAAUAUGUUAAUCCUGUUAAAAUUUUGACUUGGAGGCGCUUUGGCACACUGUGCUUGCCAAUUUUACCCAUUGGGAAAAUGUUACAAGCUAUGUUUUUUUACGUAACACAAAGCCAAUAAAAAGGUUCUGUACAACAUCAACACAACGAGGAAUCCGUCAUAGCAGUCUGCGUUUAUGUUGUUGACAGAAAGUACUUAAGAGUAAUAACAGGUGAUAACAAAUAAAGCUUAUUUUGGGAGGACUGCUCAUACUGCAAAUUAUGUACUAUUAGUCCUAGUGAAAUUGGACAAAACUGAAAUUUUAGAAAUUGAAAUUGAAAAAAUCAUCACAAAUUUUUUAUUUAAAAGAAAAAAGUUAUAGUUUGUUUAUCAUACAAUCCUACUUUGCAUUUUUAACCGGGUACGUGUAACGUCUGUCUGUUAGUGGAGUUACAGUCUAAAAACUAAUGUGAUAUUUGAAAGGAAAAUAUUUUAUAAAAGAGGUUUGAAAAUUCAAAAGCUGAAUUCAUGGAUUUUUGCCAUUGUGCCUAGACAAGUGUACACAUGCAUUGUCUUGAACAGCACUUCUUUGCCAAAUGCGGCUGUUUUUGUUUCAAAUCAAUGUUGAAUCUUUUCAAAAGUUCUGAAUAAUAUUCGCAGGUGAUCGUUUUACCCUUCUCAAGGUAAUCAAUGUGAAUGACACCCCGUGCACCUAAAAAAACUGCGACCAUGACCUUGUUGACUGACAGACUCACAUUGGCUUUCUUUGGUCCACAUUUACCCCGAGCAACUGUUUUGAUUGUCCCUUGUCUCUGGCAUGUUGUGAUGGAUCCACGUUUCAUCCACAGUUACAAAUCGGCGCCAAAACUCAUCUGGAUUACCACUGAACAUCGAUAAACACUCUUUUGAAGUGGUCACAUGGUUGUGUUUAUGGUGGAGUGUGAGUAAUCGUAGCAGUUACUUUAAAGUUACUGCGCGGGAAAUUCAAAAAGUCACUGACUUAUCAAACUGUCCUCAUAUCAAGGUUCCACUUUAUUUACAUUUAGAAGGAUAGAGGCAAACAUAUUCUGAUAUUGAACACUUUUCUGUCGCUAAGACUUUUCAUCUAAAUUAAGUAAGUGGUGAACUUUAUUACAGGUAUAAGAAGAUAAAACGGUUUGGAAUAUUGAAAUUCUGUCUGUGGUGUAGAUUUAUAAUACUACUUAUCUUAUAUUAGUAUUCAUGUAUUAUUAUUGUUAUUUUAUGUUUCCUAUUUAUACAUAUUUAGUUAAUGUUGUGUUCAGUAAAGUUUUGUAUGACAAAUAUUUACCUUCUGUAUUCAUUUCUAUAUGUAUUAAUUUUAUACAUUCAUUGUGUUAACACAGUAAAUAGAAAUAACUUGUUUCUCAAAUGUGCAAAAGUUGAAACUGCUUUAUCUACUUUUUAGAACAGCGUUAUGCUAUUGUCUUGGGUGUUGUCAUUUUUGCUAUUCUUAAAAUUUGUACUUUCUUCUUAAAUAUUCGUGAACACGAUCAAACCCUCAUUUUUAUUUUUAGAUAAGGUGAAAAAGAUUGGAAAGUCAAUUUACUAGGGGCGGUUAAUUUUUUUUCUCUAAAAGUUGUUAUAUGUAUUUCCUAUUAAUGAAAAAUCAGCCGAUCACAACAAAAAUGUUUCAGAAGAAAUAUUCUUUAACAAAUGUUACUACAUUCCCAAGAAAAAUGUUGGCAUUCACAUUGUCAGUUUAUUUUAAGCAGGAUCCCUAUUCCUUUCAUGCCACAUCUUGAUCAAAUACAUUUGUGAACUGUGAUGCUCCAAAUUUGUUGACAGAUUUUUAAAGUAAAUACAAAAAAUUAUUGUAUAUUUUAUGUUUUAAAAGUUAGAAUCGUCCAGUUUUUCACAUUAGAGAUUUAAAAUUAUUCAGUAUUUCAAAAGUUUGAGUAAACCAAGUUUCACUGUAAAGCAUGGCUGCAUAUUCCGUGUCGGAGCAAAUCACAACUUCAAACCAACCUUUUUAUAACUUUUGAAGUAAAGAAAGGAAUGUUACUUGGCACUCAGCCUAAACAAAGUCAUCACUCCUUUCAAAUAAUUAAUGAUCCAUGUCGUAGUGUGCUAUUUGUUGUGCUCUCGAUAAAUCAAUCUCUCAACCAAUCAAUUGUAUUUGUGCUCACAAUAAUAAUCACUCAAAUAAUCUGUAUUCUACGAGGCACGUCCAGAAAGUAAAUGUACUGGUACUCUCACAGCUGUAGAGAAUACUUUUUUGACAUGUUGGCAACACUGCGGCGUAGCUAGAAUCCUCCCCUUCAAAAUGAGACCAAUCCGAGGUUAGUGUGUUAAAAACUCUUGACGCAGUAGCAUCUCUCGCGAAAAAUGUCAAUCGUAUUUCUCGCCUAGUGCGAAAUUCGCGCCGUCACUACGCGGCAGUGUUGCCAACAUGUCGAAAAAGUAUUCCCUACAGCUGUGAGAGUACCAGUACACUUACUUUCUGGACGUGCCUCGUAUUUGAGUGUUUUAUCUUGGUGCUCUCUAUUAAGCAUUAGUGCUUCCAUCAGACUUUUUCACAAUACGUUUGUACUCUGUGUUGUCUACGUAUUGUGGUUCUAUUUCAAGAAACUACCUCCUACUAUAUAUAAUGGUUUGCUCCAUUUUGAAGAAGCUCAUGUUUGUUGGAACCUCACAAUCAAUGAACCUUAAAUAAAAAAAUAACUUUGUGAAUUGAACACGUAAAAAAAUACUAACUUUGUGAAUUGAAUACGUAAAAAAAUACUAUAGGUAGUGAAUACCAUACGUAAUUACAUUCCACUUGGACAAGAGGCUGUGCAUUGAUUUUUAUAACAUGAAAUUUUAAUUGGAUUAGGUCACUAGAUUAUUAAAAUGUUUUUGUUUCAAAUUAAAGAAAAAUUUAUAAAUCGGAUACAAAUACUAACCUUCCACUUCAGAAUAAAUUUACGUUUUCUCUGUGUUGAAUUUCUGUAAUCCUGUUUGUUCACAAAAUAAGAUGUUGUUGUCCUUACAUUUAUAAUUAUAGGUUGUGAACCAAUAAGAAUAGUUUCAAUCCUUAUGUAAUUAAUUUAAUUAUUUUUGUAUAAACAAACCCCAUUAAAAAGCUUGUCCGUAACCACUGUGUGAACAUGUUUGUAGUGCCAUAGUAUAGUAACCUCUCGCCAAGUGCCCUCGUCAUGUUAAGCUGUGAUAACAAGCACUUAGCUGCAUUCUGUACUAUACAAGUUCUUUUUAUUUCCAUCAGUAAAGUUCUUUUUCCACCUG